AACACAAAACAAAGCUAAUCUGCAGAGCUCUUGUUGAUAGCACCAAGACAGGAAGCACCAGCAAAUAUGAAAAUAAUAUAUUGUCUUCUCUUCGUUGGGAAUAUCCUUGUGAACGUCCAGACAAAGGACGUGGCUCCAAGAUCUUCGUCACACCAGUAUCCGGACUUGGAGUUUAAGUGUGAAAACCGUAUUGGAUAUUUUGCUGAUGUAAUCCGGAAUUGCAAGGUUUUUUAUCUGUGUACAAAAGAAGGAUUGAAGUACAACUUUGUCUGUCCUCCCACCCUGGUGUUUGAUGAGAAAGACUCUGUUUGCAAACGAAAAGAGAACGUAGACUGCAGGGGGCCAGAAGAAACGAACGUUUUGAAGAGUCCAUCUCACAAGUAUCCAAAGCAACUUGAGUUUGAAUGUAAAAAGGACGCCGACCCUAAUCUUUAUUAUGUUGACACCAUAAGGGAUUGCCGUCACUUUCACCGCUGUGUGAAUGGCAAGAAAUACGAGUUCAACUGUCCAGAAGGCUUAGCAUUUGACAGCAGUAAGCAGGCUUGUCUUCUAAAGGACCAUGUCAAGUGUGACCGUAAAGAGCCAGAGGAAUAAGUCAUUCUCUUUGUUCAAAUAUGUUUACGUGUGAAGCUACUUGUUAUUGUCAAAAUGUUAAAAAUAAGUAAUAAUUAAAUGUGUAAUUAAUACUUGAAACAGUCGGUACUUGGUGAAACUCCAUUUUUUUAAACAAAUAUGGGCUUAGUUUGAUUGUACUAUCGUUAUAUUAUCAAACAAUGCAAGUUAUCUAUUUUACUCCAAGAAAAUGUGAUUUAGGACGUUCUGUAAGCUAAUAUAAAAUAUAUUUCUCCAAAUUAACCUUUAAGACAAACUUGUCUCAGUUAUUUUGAUUAUUAUACACGCAGGAUAAUUAACUGUUCAUCCUGUACUGAUUAAAAAUAUUUGACUAGCAGUAGCAAUAACAUAUGAAAAUCUAUGUUGAUUUUUCACUGUUUGGAAAUUAUGAAUAUUAAAGAGAAACUUAUAUAAA
Molecule: unclassified non-coding RNA, 1027 nt
Filed under: Limulus polyphemus (Atlantic horseshoe crab)
Lineage: Eukaryota; Metazoa; Arthropoda; Merostomata; Xiphosura; Limulidae
Description: probable endochitinase, transcript variant X1
Source: RNAcentral